RNAcentral lists this ribosomal RNA (517 nucleotides) under uncultured marine eukaryote. RNAcentral's name for it is "SSU rRNA". It matches the Rfam family "Eukaryotic small subunit ribosomal RNA", at positions 613 to 1129 of the family's 1831-position model. The record is from RNAcentral.
UUGCGGUUAAAAAGCUCGUAGUUGGAUUUCUGCUGAAGCAAACCGGUCCGCCCUCUGGGUGAGCAUCUGGUUUUGUUGUGGCAUAUGCUUAGACUUUGCAGCUGCACUUGACUGUGUGGUGUGAAGGCUGAGCCUUUUACUUUGAUGAAAUCAGAGUGUUUCAAGCAGGCCAUUGCCGUGCAUACACUAGCAUGUACUAAUAUGAUAUGACUGUGGUUUUACUUUGUUGGCUUUUAGAAUUAGAGUAAUGGUUAAUAGGGAUAGUUGGGGGCAUUCAUAUUUAACUGUCAGAGGUGAAAUUCUUGGAUUUGUUAAGGAUGAACGACUGCGAAAGCAGUUGCCAAUGAUGCUUUCAUUGAUCAAUAACGAAAUUUAGGGGAUCGAAGACGACUAGAUACCGUCCUAGCCUUAACCAUAAACCAUGCCAACUAGAUAUUGGAGAUUGUUAUGUGCAUGACUCCUUCAGCACCUAAUGAUAAAGCAAAGUCUUUGGGUUCCGGGGGGGGGGGAGUAUGGU